This 457-nucleotide ribosomal RNA is filed under the name Paulbroadya prostrata. RNAcentral's name for it is "SSU rRNA". The stretch from base 1 to 307 matches the Rfam family "Eukaryotic small subunit ribosomal RNA", at positions 1507 to 1831 of the family's 1831-position model. The record is from RNAcentral. Lineage: Eukaryota; Viridiplantae; Chlorophyta; Ulvophyceae; Ulvales.
UACGUUCACAAGUUCCUGUUCCGAAAGGCUCGGGAAAUCUUUGAAACCGUAUCGUGAUGGGGAUAGAACAUUGCAAUUAUUGUUCUUCAACGAGGAAUGCCUAGUAAGCGCGAGUCAUCAUCUCGCGUUGAUUACGUCCCUGCCCUUUGUACACACCGCCCGUCGCUCCUACCGAUUGAACGUGCUGGUGAAGAGUUAGGACUGGAUUGUUGGCUAGGUCUCCUGGUCGGCUGUUCGGGAAUUUCUUUAAACCCUCCCGUUUAGAGGAAGGAGAAGUCGUAACAAGGUUUCCGUUAAAGAAUUACAUUCACCAGCGGAUAAGAGGGCCAGUGAAAAGCUGCUUUGCCCUAGUGAGUGCUCCUGCACUUGCGACACUGUCAAAUUGCCGGGACCUCUCGCCAAGCCAAUGGUACCGCCUGGGCUCUGAAAGGAUCUCUGGCACCCGCGGCGAAAAGUC